Molecule: ribosomal RNA, 274 nt
Filed under: uncultured bacterium
Lineage: Bacteria
Description: partial 16S ribosomal RNA
Rfam family: Bacterial small subunit ribosomal RNA
Source: RNAcentral
CUACGGAGGGUGCAAGCGUUGUCCGGAUUUAUUGGGUUUAAAGGGUGCGUAGGUGGUUUUUUAAGUCAGUGGUGAAAGCCUACAGCUUAACUGUAGAGGUGCCAUUGAUACUGGGGAACUUGAGUAUGGACGAGGUAGGCGGAAUUUGUGGUGUAGCGGUGAAAUGCAUAGAUACCACAAGGAACACCGAUAGCGAAGGCAGCUUACUGGGCCAUAACUGACACUGAGGCACGAAAGCGUGGGGAGCGAACAGGAUUAGAUACCCUAGUAGUCC